UUCAACUAAAUUCUAAUUUAAUUAUAGUUGAAAUUCUAAUGGACUUCAAUCAAAUCCUAGACAAAUCUUAAUCUUUAAAUCAAAUCCUAAAUAAAUUUUAAAUCCUAAACCAAACUCUAGACUAAUCUUGUAUCCUAAAUCAAAUCCUAACCAAAUCCUAAAUCCUAAACUAAAUCCUAACCAAAUCCUUAUCAAAUCCUAAAUCCUAAACUAAAUCCUAACCAAAUCCUAAAUCCUAAAUCAAAUCCUAAUCAAACCCUAAAGUAGUUUAGAACCUUGAUAUCUUUUGUUUAAAUUUUUUAUCUUAUUUAAAAUUUUACACACCUUUCAAUCUCUUUUUUAAAAAUAAGUAUAUCAAAUUUGAAGAUAAUUAUAUUUAUCAAAUGGAAGAAAAACUCUAAAAUUUGCUCAGAUGUUGGCCUGUCUCUUUUUCUAAUCUUAA
Molecule: long non-coding RNA, 442 nt
Filed under: Physcomitrium patens
Lineage: Eukaryota; Viridiplantae; Streptophyta; Bryopsida; Funariales; Funariaceae
Description: long non-coding RNA (PPAT_LNC009251)
Source: RNAcentral